GACAACAUAAAUGACCCAUGACACAAAUGAUCCACUGCAUGAAUGAUCCAUGACGUGAAUAAGCCAUAACACAGAUAACACCACAGAUGAGCCACUAAAGCAUCCGAGUGAGCCACUCACUCACACUGAGUGAGAGAAGCAAGGCACACAGACCAUGGACUGUAUAAUUCCUUUCAUGUGAAAUUUCCAGAACAGGAAAAUCGAGAGAGACAGAAAGCAGGUUAGAGGUUCCAGGGGCUGGGGGUUGGGGAGAUGGAGAAAGACUACUUAACAGGCACAGAGACUUCUUUUUGGGGUGAUGAAAAUGUCCUAAAAUGGACUAUGGCAUUGGCUGCACAACUCUGAACACACUAAGAAACACUGGAUUGGACAAGUUAAAUGGCUGGAUGCUGAACUAUGUCUCAAUAAAGCUAAAGAAUAAGAUGGCUCCUUCCAGCUUUGCAGGAACCUAACUGCUAGUCCCACAAACUUGCCCUCCUAAUUGUUGCAACCUUGAAUGCCUUCCUAAGAAUGAGAGAUUUGUGAGAGAGCCUAACCUUUUCCCUGCUUUUAAUCUACUCUCCUUCAGCAAAUUAGACUAAAAUCUACAUUAAUGAAUUACGAUCUGAAAUUUUUUCCUUUCCUAUAUCACCUAAGGGGAGUUACCAGCAUGCUCCUUGCUAUAUCAUGGGUGCCUUCAUAUAUUCUGCUCUUUAAGGGGGUUACUUUUUGC
This is a long non-coding RNA of Cebus imitator (Panamanian white-faced capuchin), 712 nucleotides long. RefSeq lists it as uncharacterized. The record is from RefSeq and is a predicted model, not a curated record. Lineage: Eukaryota; Metazoa; Chordata; Mammalia; Primates; Cebidae. The transcript is spliced from 3 exons.